Molecule: long non-coding RNA, 816 nt
Filed under: Chinchilla lanigera (long-tailed chinchilla)
Lineage: Eukaryota; Metazoa; Chordata; Mammalia; Rodentia; Chinchillidae
Description: lncRNA (ENSCLAG00000027175.1)
Source: RNAcentral
GGGCUGCCUUGGGAGGCCCGAGAAAAGGGCCGGGAUAAUGACAGGCUCAGCUACCGCUGCUCUCUUCAGAGGAGCGAGGGGAGGGAGGCGGCAAAACCCCGGGGAUAAUAAAGAAGUAACAAAUGAGGAAUGAAAGCUUAUGGGAGACAUCUUAACCCAGGGAUGAAAAAACAUCAACAUCUGCGGGCUUUCUGCACCAGCGGGCCCAGGGCCUAAUGAAAACCCUCGAAAAGCCAUUCACGGGCGCAGAGGCGAAAAGGCUACAUUUUUCUGUGGGGCACGGAGGGUUGGCCUUUCCCUUCUCCUUUGGUCUGCUGCUGAACCGAGCGCUAACGUCUGCCGUCGGCGUCAUCAGGAGCGGGGCCACUGUCACCCCAGCUCUGCCAGGCGGGGGCUACCUGAAGUUCAACACUGUUGUCUGCUGUUGGGUCGCAAAGGGAACAGAGCUGUCCAUCUGUGGGCUGACCCUGUCGUCCUAAGAUGCCAGAGCAAGUGGUGAGCUCCCAGGCCCUUGAAGUAAGUAAGCAGUGGUCUGAGGAGCAUCUGUCAUCUGUCACCAUAAACUGGACAAGAUUUCCGGGCUGGAGGCAUGCUAAUGUCUUUUGUGAUCUUGUAUUUCUGCCUACUAAUUAUGCACUAGCCACUCUGAGUCUGAAAUAGAUUAUCUCAUUAAAUUUUCACAGCUCCGUGGUACAAACUCCCUUACUGUGCCCAAGCUGCAGAUAAGGAAAUGAGGUGGCGAAGUCUGCUGGAGUCUAAGUGACCUUCCGUCCCCUUCCGUUUGUGGUUUUUCUGGUUCCUCCCCAUGCUCUGGCA